GUUGCUUUGUUUAGGAGAUGAUAAUAGGCUUUCUUUGAUUUGUCUAGUAAAUUUUUGCCUUUUCAGAUAUUUUAUCACUAGUUAGCCCUUUUGAGCCUGUAGGCUUUUAUUGGUAGCCAUAUUUUGCCCUUAACUAUUUUGUUGAAUCCCUAGUUUUUGCACCUUACUUCCUUGAGCAUUAUAGUAUAGACUUAUUCUAAUUAUCAAUUAUGAGAAAGAGGGAUGAUUGAGUAAUCAAUGAUAGCUACAAAGUGCUUAAAAGCCCUCUUUCAAAAAAAUAAA
This 282-nucleotide long non-coding RNA is filed under the name Solanum tuberosum (potato). RNAcentral describes it as "long non-coding RNA (STUB_LNC007374)". Lineage: Eukaryota; Viridiplantae; Streptophyta; Magnoliopsida; Solanales; Solanaceae. The record is from RNAcentral.